GGGUGGGUGGUUUCACCUUUUGCAUAACCGCUACUUCCCCAUCCUUCCCCAAACUGCACAUUCACUGGCAGAGGACCACCUUCCUUCCAUUAUAGAGGAGGACUAGUCUUCAUUCAAGUGUGUAGGAGUAGCUGCAUUUCCUUUCUAGAACUUUCCAACUGGCUCUCAAAUAACUUGAUAAAAAUUUGAGUGUUCCAUUAGGGAAAAUGUUACAGUAGGUAAUGUGUAUCCAUCU
Unclassified non-coding RNA from Cricetulus griseus (Chinese hamster), 235 nucleotides. Its record names the gene 7SK. It matches the Rfam family "7SK RNA". Rfam says of the family: 7SK was discovered as an abundant small nuclear RNA in the mid-70s but a possible function has only recently been suggested. Two independent studies have found that 7SK RNA binds the CDK9/cyclin T complex (known as elongation factor P-TEFb). NCBI's taxonomy places the organism in Eukaryota, Metazoa, Chordata, Mammalia, Rodentia, Cricetidae. The record is from Ensembl.